UACCAGCACCUCGAGUGAUCAGGACGUUUAUUGGGCCUAAAGCAUCCGUAGCUGGCUUUGCAAGUCUCCGGUUAAAUCAACCUGCUUAACAGAUUGGCCGCUGGAGAUACUACAAAGCUAGGGAGUGGGAGAGGUAGACGGUAUUCGGGGGGUAGGGGUAAAAUCCUCUGAUCCUCUGAGGACCACCAGUGGCGAAGGCGGUCUACCAGAACACGUUCGACAGUGAGGGAUGAAAGCUGGGGGAGCAAAC
This 250-nucleotide ribosomal RNA is filed under the name uncultured bacterium. RNAcentral's name for it is "partial 16S ribosomal RNA". It matches the Rfam family "Archaeal small subunit ribosomal RNA", at positions 474 to 724 of the family's 1478-position model. The record is from RNAcentral.